RNAcentral lists this ribosomal RNA (279 nucleotides) under uncultured bacterium. Its description in RNAcentral is "partial 16S ribosomal RNA". It matches the Rfam family "Bacterial small subunit ribosomal RNA", at positions 506 to 784 of the family's 1533-position model. The record is from RNAcentral.
UGCCAGCAGCCGCGGUAAUACCGAGGGUGUAAGCGUUCUUCGGAAUUACUGGGCGUACAGCGCGCGUAGGCGGCUAUUUAAGUCAGAUGUGAAAGUCCACGGCUCAACCGUGGAAGUGCAUUUGAAACUGGAUAGCUUGAGUAUUGGAGGGGGUAGUGGAAUUCCCGGUGUAGAGGUGAAAUUCGUAGAUAUCGGGAGGAAUACCGGUGGCGAAGGCGACUACCUGGCCAGAUACUGACGCUGAGGUGCGAAAGCGUGGGGAGCAAACAGGAUUAGAUA